AAGUACUGUGCAGGCUGGGCUGACAAGAUCCAUGGUCAAACAAUACCGAGUGAUGGAGACAUUUUCACUUUUACGAGACGUGAACCUAUUGGGGUGUGUGGCCAAAUCAUCCCUGUAAGUUUUCCUUCCUGACUCCCAAUGAGGGAAAGAAAGGUCGAAUUCCAUUAAUCCAGGGAGGAAGCCCAUUUUCAUACAAGUGAAGCUCAUGCAAUGGUUAUGUGUGAGGUAAAUUCAACAAGCAUGACUGCCUGCAGCUUAUCGUCCUGUAACUGAGCUUCUUAUAUAGGAGUUAGCUCCUUCAGAGACCUUGGAUAGAUGGCUGUGCCCUUGGAGGGCAUUUCAGUGUUAUCACAUGAGCCCCAAGUGUUGACUGCAUGAAUGGCUUUGGAAAUUGUGCUAUGUUCCGGUUUCGUGAGCU
This 418-nucleotide long non-coding RNA is filed under the name Rattus norvegicus (Norway rat). Its description in RNAcentral is "long non-coding RNA NONRATT001595". Lineage: Eukaryota; Metazoa; Chordata; Mammalia; Rodentia; Muridae. The record is from RNAcentral.